ACAGAGCUAGUUUGCAAAUUCUGAAUACAAAAAAAGAAAAAACUACACUCUCACUCUUUAUUUACAGCAAAACACAUACCAACAUAUCCACACCCAGAGUGUUUGUUUCACAUCACACCCAAAUACAUAAGGUAAAUAAAAGAGAAUUCUUUCAAAAUUUCAAGGUAAAAAAAAGGUGCAAAUGUAUAUUUUACUAAACUAGAGAAGCCUCCUCCUGAAGUUUCUGGUAGUUGAUUGAUAAGUACGAACUAGAAGACCGACACCAAUCCCAAGACCAACACAGACACCUAGUCCAAU
RNAcentral lists this non-coding RNA (297 nucleotides) under Capsella rubella. RNAcentral describes it as "TeloSII non coding RNA 33". It matches the Rfam family "TeloSII non coding RNA 33". From Rfam's summary of the family: Located downstream of the TeloSII elements. These elements have been shown to coordinate the expression of protein-coding gene related to ribosome biogenesis throughout the cell cycle in Arabidopsis. The record is from Rfam by way of RNAcentral. Lineage: Eukaryota; Viridiplantae; Streptophyta; Magnoliopsida; Brassicales; Brassicaceae.